RNAcentral lists this non-coding RNA (24 nucleotides) under Arabidopsis thaliana (thale cress). Lineage: Eukaryota; Viridiplantae; Streptophyta; Magnoliopsida; Brassicales; Brassicaceae. The record is from RNAcentral.
AAGGGAUUUCUGGAUUCACCUCGC